Long non-coding RNA from Engraulis encrasicolus (European anchovy), 1228 nucleotides. RefSeq lists it as uncharacterized. Lineage: Eukaryota; Metazoa; Chordata; Actinopteri; Clupeiformes; Engraulidae. The record is from RefSeq and is a predicted model, not a curated record. The transcript has 4 exons.
UUUGCCAUUCAUUUCAAUGGGUGAUGUAAUUUUGGACAUCCGCAAUUCUAUUUUGGAUAUCCACAACAUAGAUUGCAGAUAUCUGCAACUGAAUUGCAGAUAUCUUUAAUUGCAAUUCGAGAUAUCUACAAUUGAAUUUCGCCUAGUCAAAAUGUCAGUUCAAGAUAUCUUCAAAUCCUUCUAAUUCAAGAUAUCUAUAUCUUCCUUUUUGGAUAUCCUUAAUUGAGUUUUGACUAGGCGAAAUUCAAUUGCAGAUAUCUGUAACUGGAGUUACGACUAGUCAAAAUGACGUUUUAGAUAUCUCAUACUGGAGUUAUGGAUAGGCGAAAUGUAAUUGUAGAUAUCCACUAUCCAAUUAUAGAUAUCUGGAAAUGAUUUUUGAUUAGAGAUAUCUCAAAUUGGAGAUAUCUGUAAUGUUCAUUCUGCCUAGUCGAAAUGUAAUUAAAGAUAUCUAGAAUAACAGUUUUGACUAGGCGAAAUGACGUUACAGAUAUCUGUAUGCAAAUGACCCAUGCACGCACCACCAACCCCCCUCCCCUUCCCCCACCCCUCACAUUUGGCGGGAGCACACAAACACACACACACACACACACCGCCAUUUUAGUGAUUAGUUGCACCUGUGAAAUGGACAACGAGCGUCAAGAAACCGUUUUCAAUCGUCUUUUCAACAUAGCUACUCGUGCAAGAGCAGAGUUGGCAAGCUCCAGUGCAGAUCAUGCCUAAAGUUACUUCAACGCGACGACCGACUGUUUCAUCGAGUACAGGUUAGGCGACGAGGACAUGAUGAGGACAAGCACUGUCAAGUCCUCUUCAGCUCCAAUGAUUAUAUCCAGUGCCCAAGGCUCCACGUCUCUAUGCACCAUUCAUCUCAACACUAACCAAAUGGUGGCUUUGUAACAGUGAUUGUGGGAGGAUGCUGUGCAGGUGUCAACAUGAAUGUGCCGGAGGACUAGAGUAUGCUGGCGUCGACACCCCACCUCCUCCCCUUCAGACUCCAUCGAGGGUUGGUCCCUGUCCUGUGAGGAGAGGAUGCAAUGGGUCUCUGCUUCAGCCGUGGCACCUUCUCUACAACCCUCGCCACUGUCACCAGUUUGUCCCCAUCCUGUGAAGGGGGGUAGGCUUUAGCCCCCUGCCUCAUCAAUCGGCAGGAUAAGCGCCCUCUUCUUUGAAACAGGACAUGUUUUAUUGAUGCUCUACAUGAGUAUUAUAUACAUGUAUAUAUACAGUG